RNAcentral lists this microRNA precursor (77 nucleotides) under Heligmosomoides polygyrus. RNAcentral's name for it is "microRNA hpo-mir-10112 precursor". The record is from miRBase by way of RNAcentral. Lineage: Eukaryota; Metazoa; Nematoda; Chromadorea; Rhabditida; Heligmosomidae.
CAGACCCUAACAGAAGGCCGUCCUUGGACAUGAUUAGCGAAUUCUUGGGCAUGGAACUGCCUUCGAAAAAACGUCUU